This is a non-coding RNA of Sus scrofa (pig), 4930 nucleotides long. The record is from RefSeq and is a predicted model, not a curated record. Lineage: Eukaryota; Metazoa; Chordata; Mammalia; Artiodactyla; Suidae.
AGUGGAGCCAGGGACUCAGACCCAAAUCCUCACAGAAACUGGUUGGGUUUGUUACCACUGAGCCACAAUGGGAACUCUAGUAUCUUCUACCCUUUUUUUUUUCUUUAUCUACCUCCAUAAUCUGCCCAGUUUUCAGUAAUUUACCUCCAUGUAGGCAAGAACAUUGCUUCCUAAAUAAUUUUUCUAUUUUUCUUCUGAAAAUGGAAUGAGAGCAAUGUUUUACUCAUGGAAAAUACAUUAGUAUCUUCCAAAAAGGGUACGUAUAUGCAACCUACAUUAAAAAGCAGGAAAAUUCCCCACAGUUUCUUCAUAUCGUUUAUAUAUUUAGACUCACCUUUCCUUACAGUUAAAUGAUUAGAAGUGUUCCUGAAAACUAGAAAGUGUUAUAACAGAAGCUAUUGUUUGUUGUCUAUCAGAGGAAAGUACAUUUACAUGCAUAGAUUGGGAAAUCUGUUCUUAUUCAUAAAUGUAAUUCUGGUUAUAUGCAAAUAGAAUGAUGACCCAAUGGCUCACUGUUUCAUGUGGCUCUAUGUGUCCCAGGAAAGCCACUCAGAUUGCCAUUCUUCUCAGGACAACUGAUUUUCUGCUGUUCUAUGAUAAAGUCAUCAGUUACAUGCUUACACCCAUCAAAACUUAAUUUGAUUGUGGAAUAGUAUGUUUUCUGUUAUUGCUGUUUUAAUGCGUUCUGGGCUAUUUAGUGUCUACACUUUAUAUCCCUCGUGUCCAUCCCAUAUCCCCUGACACAUGUACACAUGUUUACAGACAGAUUUCUGGGUUAUCAGAAGCUUCUACACUUAAUAAGUGCACUUGUUUUCAGAACAGUGAAGGAAACCAGAUGGUUUCCAAUCACAGUGUUGAAAGGACAUAAUGUUAAGUUGAAUUCUUAUAAUUUAACACUAUAGAUGAUUAGAGGGUACAUGUUUAAAAAGCUAACUUGUUGCCAAUGAUCCUUGUUUUGUAAGCUUAUUUAAACACAUGGUGCAGUAAAAAGAACAAAAGUUUGAAAACUAAUUGUAAAAACUCAAACCAAUUAGUAAUGGAGAAUCCAUGUUUCAUUUUCUACCAUACUUUUUACUAGAGCUUCUAGAUGUAGCUAGUAAAAUGGAAAUAGUAUAAUAAUUUAUUUUUCCACCUCCAUGCCUUUGAGGAAAUUGUGAUUCAUGGAUCAAAACCUGCGGAGGAAGAAAAGUUGUUGGCAAAUGCUUAAUCUAUUUAAAAGUAAUCCAUGGCAAUACGAUGAUGUGUGUUUAAACAUGUCUUUCCCUCUGAAGGACACUUUUAUAUACAUCUGAUCUAGGUCUAGAUCAUAUCAUAUAUACAAUAUGCAUAUCCAGAUCUAGAUCAGAUUAUAAGUCCCAAUAUACACAAAGAUAAGUUAGAGAUAUAUAGAUGAUUAGACAAAACAGAUAGAUACAUAUACACAUAGAUACACAGAAUAAAAACACAUAUGUGCUUUUUAAAAAAAUAUAAUCAAUUCUCUUAUAUAUGUGUACUGGAAGUGUGUGUAGUGAAACAAAUAAAAGAAUUUUAUUUCUAUAGGGUUAAAACCUAAUUCUGAAUAAUGAAACAAAUUAGUUGCCCCAAUCCUUGAAAGCCAAGCCACUCACUCAUUACAGCUUCCUACUGGAAUUUGACGGGAUUACAUCAAACAAAGAGAUGUUUGCCAUAAUUUCAAUUAAUUUAAAUAAUUAAUUAGUGUCUCUGUGCUGACAAAAUACCAUCAGCACUCAGGAAUCCAAUAGCACUGGUCUCUGUACAAUGGCUUUUAAGGAUGGAUCACAUGUCAAUAUAGAAGCAUACCUAAAAACAAUUGCAUGUAGCUUUGACUCAGUGAGAAACUGCAUGAAAUGUAAACAAUAAAUUAGGGUGGAUAAAUUGCUGAGAGCCAUCUCCAGAAAGGAAUACAAAUAAAACAGAAUAUUUUUUUUUCUGAAAAUGGACAGAAUCAGGGCAAAAUAUAGAUUUUUGAAACUUAUAAAAUGACUUUGGAAAAAUAAUUUAGUGGAAUGUAUAUACACACAAACACAGGAAGAGUGUGACUAUAAAGUAAUGAGACCUAUUUAACCAAUCUCACAUACGAAUGCUUUUCCAUCCAGAUGUUAUAAAUUGAAAACUAUAAAUUUUCCUAUGGACUGUUAUGGCACCUAUCCAUAAACAGGCAUUUUUUUAUAUUGACUUGGCUAUAAAGGAUGUUGACUUGCUCUACUUCCUGCUUUCAAAUGGAGCAAUUAUGAGUUUUCCAGUCAAGCUUAAAAUAGGUCACACUGAAAGUUUAAUGAGAUUUCUUCCCAUGAAGAACUUCUCCCUCAAGACUUCAAUGCCACUUUUCUAACCAAAGUACAAGAACUACUCUUUUACCCAGAUAUUUGGAUUCAUUUUCUCAAUAAAUCAAUUAUCCAGAUGUUUUUCUCCAUGUGAAGUGAAAUAUCUGGAUGCUGCUAUAUUUUUAAUGCUUCACAUCACAUAAGCAAAGCAUUUCUAGUGAUAAGUGUAUGGAUAUAGAUUGUGAGGCUAAUAUGGUUUUAAAAACCUGUGGAUUUUCUUCCCUCAAGCAAAGCUUUAACAUUUCUGAAAUUCAGUUAAUUUGAACUUUAUGAAAAUCUUUGAAAUUUGACUUUUACCUGAGGAGAAUGAGUCUCUAUUUUGAGUCAUUUGCUUCUGGGUAAAUUUCAAGACAGUAUCACUGGCAAAUCUAACACAAGGAAGUCAUAUGCAACCACCUAUAAUUUAUUCAGGAAGUCUGGUAUUUAAACAAUUUGAAAUUCAUGUCUUACCAUCAGAUAAUCAGAUAAUUUGGCAAGUUUACUAUCUUCUGAAGUACUUCCCAAAGUAAUUGUAGUAUUUAUAAUCAAGAAGAGAUUUUACUAUGUUUGCUUUUUUUUCUAUCCCCCAAAUGAGGGUAUUUUGCAUUGAUAAGUGGAAACCUCUCAUAAUUUCUUAUUUCUUUUCAUCUAUUUGGUUUGAGCAUAGGUACCAAACUUUUAAAAUUCCAGUUAUUGUUGUAUAUUUUAAAAUUUUAUUGAUUUUACUGCUAUGAGCCUUUCUAUGUGUUUCUUUACUAAAGGCAGAGAUGUCAUAUGUUAAAAAUGAUCCAGGAAAGAACAAGAAUCUAGUUCUGUGUGAAAUGCUCACUGAAGACCACUGGCCAUCACUGUGCUUUGUUUACUAAUUCAUCCUUCACACCUGGAACAUUCCUCAGUGUAAAGCUGUGGCAUAUGGCAGGUUAAUCAUUCUUCCCAAGUUGGAGCAGGCUGGUCAGGAGUCCAGGCAGCCUCCAGCUACCUUGGAACAUAAUCAGUCCCCGUUUGUCUGCAUUUACAAAAUAGCUGCACAGCAGUAUGCCUUUGAGUGAGUAUUCAUGAGAUCCCUAAAGAACACUGCUUUCUUUGUCUCACUGCAGGAAAAAAAAAAAAAAAUCUCAACAAAACUCAGGCUUGCCAAGUGCCACAAUUUCCCUCCUUCUCAUGCCCUGUCAUAUAAAGUCAGUUCAAGAUCCACUUUUCAGCCACAGCUGACAGGGCCCAGGUCCCUGUGUAUCUACCAGACCCUAUGACCAUUGCCUGUGAGUAGAGCUUCUGAUGGUCCAGCUUAACUGCUAAUGAGAAGAGUCAGUCACAGUCCCAAGAAAAUGCUCCAGAUGUGUCUGGACAUGCAAAACAUGCUGGAACAUGGCAUAGAUAGUGAAGACUUCAAAGACGUUCUCUUCAAUAAAAUCUAUAUAAUUUACCUCUCUCCUCCUCUUUAUCCCAUAAAUACAAAGAGUAUAAAUUAGGUUGAAGGAGAUGACAGAUGGUCUCAGAGAAAAAAAUGUGAACAACAGUUCUCUGUUUUCAUUUGGGCAAACAAGAUGAGGGAAGCUCACACCACAGCAUAUGAAGGACAGUAAAUACUAUAGUAGUACAUGGUCUGCAUUGGUUGAAUCCAUGGAUGCCAAACCCUGGAUAUAGUAGAACCCAAAGACAGAAGCCCAACUAUAAGUUGAUUGAAUUUUUGACUAUGCAGAGAGUUGACACCUCUAACCCUUCCUCCCUCCAUCCCUCGUGGUUGUUGAAGGUUCAACCCUAAUGUGCUUCUGGUCAGUGACAAGUGACACUUUGGAUUUACCUAUUAGAGAAGACUAUUGGCUCUCAACCAGAAUGUUUUCUAAACUCUUCCAUAUACAAGCCUAGUAGAAAUACAGGCAACUAAGUCCCUAUGAUGGAAGCAUCCAGUCAAAGAGUGCAAAGGAAAAGAGUGGUGAUGGGACGUAUCUUCUAAGCUUUGGCGCAAAACCUGAAAAGGCUCUGAGGAGAGAAAGUCAAGGCCAUUCUAGGAACUGCAGGAGAGCAAAAUCAUGUUAUAACAUCCUUGAAAAUUGAAGACCCGCCUUAAGCAUUUCUGUUGACUUGGAAACUGCAGUCCAUUCCAUUGUCAGACAGUUCUGAAGAUAGGAAGUUCUUAAUACUGAAACCAACUCUGGUCUCCUCAUUCCUCAAGCAACUCUAGUCUGGCUCUUUUCCUCACCAUUCCUCCAAAUUGGCCACCUGUGGCUUUUAUGAGAGAAAAUCCAGCGGAUCUAUGCCAGGAUCAUCUUAUUCUCUUAGCAGCAUUUGACCCAGUUGGCAUUCUUAACUUCUGGAAGGCUCUCUUUGUUUUUCACUCUCACUAUGCCACUUUCUCCUGGAGGCUUUCCUACAGCUCUGGGCAUUGCUUCUUAGUCUUCUUUGCCAGUGUAUCCACCUUCCCUCCCCCAAGUAAUUUCCAGAAAUGCUCUAUAUCACCCAAACUACGUACCUAAACAUUAGAGAUUUCUUUCGGGUUAGAGGUAAUUUACUGAGAAAAGCAUCUAGUAUUGAGUCUGGGACAUAGUACCCUUAUUAAAAUGAUUCAUUUUUCCACUUUGAAGGGUAAUUUUAAUUAGGAUGUAUAUUCACUUUUAAUAAAAAAGAUA